RNAcentral lists this long non-coding RNA (233 nucleotides) under Phoenix dactylifera (date palm). RNAcentral describes it as "long non-coding RNA (PDAC_LNC007917)". Lineage: Eukaryota; Viridiplantae; Streptophyta; Magnoliopsida; Arecales; Arecaceae. The record is from RNAcentral.
UCCACUUAUGAAUAGAGGAAGGGGCACCUCAGAAGAGUGACAUACCGCCCCGAAAGGCGAAGUAAAGUCACUCUCCGUCCGUCGGGUUCGACUUCAACAAGAAGCAUUGGCGGAAGACAUUCACCAAGGUCGGAAUCCCGUGCGCAUGGCAAAUGGAAAGGAACCCGAUGAUGGUCCUCCACGAGUUCGGAGCGAGUUGUACUGGGACGAGCUAGUACUCCACCAGCAACUCG